This 466-nucleotide ribosomal RNA is filed under the name uncultured bacterium. RNAcentral's name for it is "bacterial SSU rRNA". It matches the Rfam family "Bacterial small subunit ribosomal RNA", at positions 328 to 792 of the family's 1533-position model. The record is from RNAcentral.
UUGCCAGACUCCUACGGGAGGCAGCAGUGAGGAAUAUUGGUCAAUGGCCGCAGGGCUGAACCAGCCAAGUCGCGUGAGGGAUGACGGUCCUAUGGUUUGUAAACCUCUUUUGUCAGGGAGCAAAGGGCGCCACGUGUGGCGUUUUGCGAGUACCUGAAGAAAAAGCAUCGGCUAACUCCGUGCCAGCAGCCGCGGUAAUACGGAGGAUGCGAGCGUUAUCCGGAUUUAUUGGGUUUAAAGGGUGCGUAGGCGGAUUUUUAAGUCAGCGGUAAAAUGUCCGGGCUCAACCCGGGCCGGCCGUUGAAACUGGGGAUCUUGAGUGGGCGAGAAGUAUGCGGAAUGCGUGGUGUAGCGGUGAAAUGCAUAGAUAUCGCGCAGAACUCCGAUUGCGAAGGCAGCAUACCGGCGCCCGACUGACGCUGAGGCACGAAAGCGUGGGUAUCGAACAGGAUUAGAUACCCCGGUA